This 426-nucleotide long non-coding RNA is filed under the name Homo sapiens (human). RNAcentral's name for it is "long intergenic non-protein coding RNA 906". Lineage: Eukaryota; Metazoa; Chordata; Mammalia; Primates; Hominidae. The record is from RNAcentral.
GAGAGGCAGUCCCUGCAGCAGGCUUGAGCCUCUCUCACUGACAGCCUGCCUCGCAUAAUGUUAAGCAGGCAUCGGACACUUGCUGGAAGGCAGGGAAUUGCAAUGAAAGAGCACGGAGGUGAGAAGCUGUGCUCCUUGGGGUGAAGGCAGCUUCUGUGCUCCUGGGAUCUACUGUUAAGCCAGGGUGACGCCAGCUUGCAUGCUACCGGAGGGAUCAACCUUCAGGCCUCCACUUAAGCGAGUUCUGACGUCAGUGAAUACUUCUGCAGCAUGGAAGUGCCAGGACCCUCGUUGGCCCCUGAUGGCCAAAUAGCCUCACUCUCCAUUAGAAGAGAAAGCCUCACUCUCCAUUAGAAGGCCAGGAGAGCGAAAUCAGGGAUUGCUUUCAAAACAAACAGUGUGGCAAUAAAGAAUUUCAGAAGAAAA